RNAcentral lists this ribosomal RNA (482 nucleotides) under uncultured bacterium. RNAcentral describes it as "partial 16S ribosomal RNA". It matches the Rfam family "Bacterial small subunit ribosomal RNA", at positions 30 to 507 of the family's 1533-position model. The record is from RNAcentral.
UGAACGCUGGCGGCAUGCCUUACACAUGCAAGUCGCACGGCAGCGCGGGAGCAAUCCUGGCGGCGAGUGGCGAACGGGUGAGUAAUACAUCGGAACGUGCCCAAUCGUGGGGGAUAACGCAGCGAAAGCUGUGCUAAUACCGCAUACGAUCUACGGAUGAAAGCAGGGGAUCGCAAGACCUUGCGCGAAUGGAGCGGCCGAUGGCAGAUUAGGUAGUUGGUGAGGUAAAGGCUCACCAAGCCUUCGAUCUGUAGCUGGUCUGAGAGGACGACCAGCCACACUGGGACUGAGACACGGCCCAGACUCCUACGGGAGGCAGCAGUGGGGAAUUUUGGACAAUGGGCGAAAGCCUGAUCCAGCCAUGCCGCGUGCAGGAUGAAGGCCUUCGGGUUGUAAACUGCUUUUGUACGGAACGAAACGGUCUUUUCUAAUAAAGAAGGCUAAUGACGGUACCGUAAGAAUAAGCACCGGCUAACUACGUG